RNAcentral lists this ribosomal RNA (500 nucleotides) under uncultured bacterium. Its description in RNAcentral is "partial 16S ribosomal RNA". It matches the Rfam family "Bacterial small subunit ribosomal RNA", at positions 30 to 523 of the family's 1533-position model. The record is from RNAcentral.
AUUGAACGCUGGCGGAAUGCUUUACACAUGCAAGUCGAACGGCAGCACGGACUUCGGUCUGGUGGCGAGUGGCGAACGGGUGAGUACUGUAUCGGAACGUGCCCAGUCGUGGGGGAUAACGUAGUGAAAAUUACGCUAAUACCGCAUACGAUCUAUGGAUGAAAGCGGGGGAUCGCAAGACCUCGCGCGCUUGGAGCGGCCGAUAUCAGAUUAGGUAGUUGGUGGGGUAAAGGCCCACCAAGCCAACGAUCUGUAGCUGGUCUGAGAGGACGACCAGGCACACUGGAACGGAGACACGGGCGAGGCUCCCACGGGAGGCAGCAGUGGGGAAUUUUGGACAAUGGGCGAAAGCCUGAUACAGGCAUUCGGCGUGCAGGAUGAAGGCCCUCGGGUUGUAAACUGCUUUUGUACAGAACGAAAAGGUUUCUACUAAUACUUGGAGCUCAUGACGGUACUGUAAGAAUAAGCACCGGCUAACUACGUGCCAGCCGCCGCAGUAA